Elaeis guineensis (African oil palm) is the source of this 1982-nucleotide non-coding RNA. The record is from RefSeq and is a predicted model, not a curated record. Lineage: Eukaryota; Viridiplantae; Streptophyta; Magnoliopsida; Arecales; Arecaceae.
AUGGGUCAAAUGAGGCCUGUUAGCCUCGCUACUCCCCACUUCGCCCUUCUAUCCUCCCCUGCUAAACCCCAUGCAGGAACAAGUUACUUCUUCAUGUUGAAAGUCAUUUUUCUCCUACUGCUCAACAACUUAAGGCAUCUAUGGAAACAUCAAAGGAAUCUCAGGGGUUGAAUAGGAGACUUUACCCACAUAUAGAGCCAUACUAUUCAGGAUUUUUGAAGGUCCCAGAUAUCCAUACAUUGUACUGGGAGCAGUCAGGAAACCCAGAUGGGCAUAUUCAUCACCAAACAGCUGCAGUUUCAUUGUCCUACUAGUAUAUGAUGCUGAGGGCUUGAACUGGAAGAUAAACCCGAACCAUUAUCUUACAGAAGGAUACCUGAGUGCGGUGUUGGUGACUAAGAUCUCACGGGUAAUAAAGAUAAAGCUCAAGGAAAGGUUGUAAACCAUGUUAUUUCUGCAGAAUGAUACUUCUUGCACCUCAAUUUGGACAUGGAAAGUUAAGUCAUGCAUUUCAUGGACUGUGGAAGAUUUGCUUAGAAGCUCUUUCCCACUCUACAAUUCUUUCACAGAUGAUCUCAAUCAUUGAUGCUUGCUAUUUCUGUCUUCUCCAUAUUUCACAAACUUUAACUAUGAAACCUGUGACAUCUUGGUUGUUCGUGACAUGAAAAUGAUGUCAUCCAUUUGGAUUUUCAGCAUGAGAGCGCUUUAGAGAUUUCAUCCAAGAAAAUGAAAGCAACAAUUUUACUGUCGCUUACCACAAAAGGCUAAAUUCUGAUGAUAUUCACAUCCAGUUUAGAGCUGCUAAAAUUUGGACUACAUCAGAGUUGAUGACUGUCCAUCUUAUUCAAAUAUGAGAGAAUAUCAAAAGAGGGGAAGAUGACAACUUCUCAUUUGCAAGUCCUUUCUACAUCGGCAUCAUAUUUUCUUCGGUGGUACAGUGUAAUGGUAGUGGUCUUGGAUUGAAAAGCUAGCUCCAAAUUAUAUUUAAUUCCAUAUUAUGCAACUGCUUCUAAAAGGAGAAUACUCUAUGUUAAGCAAGAGAUGCUGCUGAACUUGACGGCAUGGUAGUACCAUGUUGUGCCAUAACAGUGUGCAUCGGCACAGCAGCACACAGGUUACUGGCAUGCAGCUGGUAGUGUGCUAAGUGCUAUGUGCUGUAGUGCUGUUGAGGCACUGGCAUGGUAUACUUCAUGCCAUAUGACUGGCGAUUUAAAAUCAAUGAGUGGGAAGAUUGACAUUUCUUUUUGCUUGUAUAAUGUGUCAAAAGGAGUCCAGAUCCUGGGGAGAGUGAAAUUUAUGUGAUAUUUUGUUAGAAGCACUAGUAUAGGGCAGCUUGUAAACAUCUGCUCAGCAAAUAAGAACUCAACUUGUUUUAACAGUCCUUUUAUAUUCCAAUUCGUAGGUUUGGUUCUCCUGCUGAUGCAUUGUAGAACUGUAAAUUAUGUUGGUGCUUGAUUGGACAUAUUUUCAAGUUCUUGAUGGUGCUCAAAGAUCCAUGCUACAAGAUUUCUAAAUGUGCCUGCACAGACUGAAAAUCAUUAUUGUUGUGGACCAAGGAUUUUCCCUUUGAUUCAUACCUGUUGGAUAAUGCUGACAAGAUUCAGCAUUUCAGAACCAAAAUUGUAAGGACAAAUUGCCACUACAAUGCCCAGCAUGGGCAAUGUUGUGUCUGGUUGUCUCCACUUUCACCAGAUUUGAAGGUGACCACUAACCUGGAAGGAUUAUCAUCUCAUGCGGCUAUAUGUUUUUUCAAAUUUGUGUUUCAUUCUUUCUAAUGUGUGUACCCUUUUGCAAUAACUAAUGCCAUCUUCAGCAUUUAUCCUUCUCAUGAUCUUGUCUUUUAUGCUAGAUCCUUUUUUAUUCCAAUGAUAAAAUGUAAUAAGAGAAUGAUGUUACUUUGCUAUUCUUGUUUAUCUGAUUUGAUGAAUUUUAAGAACUAAUGCAACGAAGAAAUUGGCUAGAUGACACCAACUUUCCGAAAA